Molecule: long non-coding RNA, 240 nt
Filed under: Monodelphis domestica (gray short-tailed opossum)
Lineage: Eukaryota; Metazoa; Chordata; Mammalia; Didelphimorphia; Didelphidae
Description: lncRNA (ENSMODG00000037976.1)
Source: RNAcentral
CAGAUGAAGAAAUGGGUUCACAGAGAUUAAGUAAUUUGCUCAGGUUCACAGGGCAGGCUCGGUACCUUGGUUAUUAAAGAAUGAAAGGGAGAAAGAUCCAGAAACUCUAACCCAUCUACCUGGCUUUGAGGAAGAAAUUAUUUCAGUUGGUCACUAUGAAGAUGCUUCAACAGAUACAUGAUAAUACAGCAGGUAAGUCUACAAAGGAAACAUCAUGAAGAUAUUGAACAUCUGUACUGU